ACGGGGUUAGUGUAACGGUAGCACAAGAGUCUCCAAAACUUUUAAUGAGAGUUCGAUUCUUUCACCCCGUG
This 71-nucleotide transfer RNA is filed under the name Bacteriophage sp. RNAcentral describes it as "tRNA-Trp". It matches the Rfam family "tRNA". From Rfam's summary of the family: Transfer RNA (tRNA) molecules are approximately 80 nucleotides in length. The record is from RNAcentral.